Myotis lucifugus (little brown bat) is the source of this 2495-nucleotide long non-coding RNA. RefSeq lists it as uncharacterized. The record is from RefSeq and is a predicted model, not a curated record. The transcript has 2 exons. NCBI's taxonomy places the organism in Eukaryota, Metazoa, Chordata, Mammalia, Chiroptera, Vespertilionidae.
UAUGUGUUUCUCUCAUUGUUACUGUGUUGUAUUUUUGUGUCUUGCACAUCUCCAUAACUUUUAAAAUCAUCUCACAAAAAGGAAAAUAAGGGAAGUACCCUUUUCCAACAAGUAUGUUUCAAAGUGUAAAUUCAAGCUUUUAUUAUCCUUUCUCUGUAGGUUGUUCUGGCUUUCUUACUAUGACUGUUUGUAAGACUACUUUUGUUUUGUUUGGGGGGGGGGGUAAACAAAGCCUGUGAUUCCCAUUGUGUUCAUUCAUACUUGGAUUGACUUUAUAGAAUGACAGCUCUGUAUUGCAAAAUUCAAGGCUGCAAGAAUUACUAAAGAAUUAACUGUUUUUGGACCAAAGACCUAGCAUUACUCUAGUGGACUAGGAAGGUCAAGUCUCCCCCAAACCACCAGUUAGCCUAAUGUACCAUUCUCCCUCCUUUUCCUGUCACCUACAGAAAGGGCUGGUUACCUACCUACUUGUAUCAGUGCUGUGCUGGGUGCUGUGUCUAGAGAUGGCUUAUAAAAGACUGGUGAUUGCCUCAAAUGCACCUAACAGCUCAUGUGCGCACACACAGGUACAGGCACCUGCCCACAUGCCAACACCGCUCAGCUCACUGUUUCUCAUGGCGUCGUCAUCUAAGGUUAUGGAGGGAAUCCCAGUAUUAGAAGAAAAUGACAAAUGGAGAGCGUUAUCUGUGUUGAAGUAACCAGACCUCUGUUUAGCAUCCCUGGAGGUCAAUGCCGCCCGCCUGGGAAGGAGACUCCCAUUUUCAUGCAAAUCACUCGCCUUUCUUACACCUGCCCUCUGCCCUCAGCUUCCCCCGCCUGUGGGCUGCAGUUGGGGGAGGGAGUAGUCAGCAGCCGCUCCUGCCCCAGUGCUCCCAUUCAUUCCUCCUUCAACUGCCUGGUCGCCCCCCAACUGAAUGCCUUUGGAAGGAUGAAAGGGCCAAACUUUCCAAAGAGAAGAACGGGAAUUUAUAGUGUGUGCUACACAAGGCGUAAUUCCUGCGAGGUUUACAUUUUGCACAACUUUGAAACGUGGGGAUUCUUUAUAUCCAGAGAUCCUCACACACCGAUGUAUUUUUUUCUGAUGCAGGUUUGGCCAACAAAAAAGAAUAACACGGUGUUUCAUUGCCACUCAGGUGCCUUCAUUCCUUGGGUUGUUGAUGGCUUGUUCAGACCACCCUAGAAAUACCUACUCAUCUCACUUUUUUUUUUUUUGUGGAGUAAAAAGGAUGUUUUACCCUACCAACUGUAAUGGCUCUCAAGCUGUUCCUAAUGGGCACGGUGGAGCCACUCGGCACAGACACGCAUAGGCAGGAAGGUGGCAGAAAAUUGGCUGCCUGGGCCCAGUAACCAUUUGGGGGGGAUGUCAGUAAUUUGCCGUUAAAUCCAUCUAAGUGCAUUACAGAACAGCUUCUAACACUGCCAACCCAGGGCAGCUUUUGUCUUCAUCGCAGAAACCAAAGAGAGCCCAUGGUUUUUGCUAGUACAGGGUUUUUUUGUUUGUGUGUGUGUGUGUGUGUGUUUUUUAUAGCACUCAAUAUCAGCAAACCACCUAGCAAGUACAGUCCCUUUACUCUUUACUGUCCAGUUUUGCAUGUUUCUCUCUGGGGCAGUUUGUUCAGCAUUUAUGAAGGCAUGCUAGAAAUAAUGGUAGAAGAGGAAUAAAGCGUAAACUCAGAGAUUUCCUUUUUAAAAUGUCAAGUACUAUUUUUGAGUGCUUAUUAAUAAGCAAGUAAUUGUAAAGGAUUAGAUUGAAGAAUAAGGUGUUCCACUGUUUAGUAUUCAAUUGGAAAAAUUUGAUUCACAGCUUUAGGAAACACUGAGUGUUUUCUUAAUUUACAAACGUGUGUGUGUGUGUGUGUGUGUGUGUGUGUGUAAGAGAAGAGAGAAGAGAAGAGAGAGAUUUAGAUUUCCUCAAAUUCCUAAAGAAAAGAAUGAGAAUAGAAAUCAUAACAAGCAUUGCAGUUUGAUUGUUCAACCACAGAUUUAGUGGUAGUGACAAAGGUUACCCAGGUACCAGCACCCCCACCCUCAGCCGAAACCCAGGACUAAUUAAAUGCUACCCAGGCAACCAUCAAGUUUCCCCAAACAUCAUACUCCAGGGCUUAUGCCUUUGUUUUCUUUGUUGUGACCUUAGGGUAAUUUCUAUUGCUGGGAAGUCAGAUUUCUUUGGUCAUAGAAAAAUGUGAGAAAGAAAGAAGUGCCCCUGGGGAAGUACACUUAGAAAUGACCACAGGGACUGGAGAAACUCACAUAAACACAAGACAAAAAUAAUGUUAUUUUAAUAAACGAUUCCAACUUAUGUUAAAGAGCUGCAAUUACUCAGGACUGAUGAGAUAAUUGAUUACAGAAAACGCAACAGGAGAGUCUACACAUGAUUUAAAAAUAAAAGUAAUUAAAAAUGAACAAAAAAGACCCGGGGAAUGUGGUGCUUUAUUGGUUAUGACCCCUGUCCGCAGUUGUAUCACCCCUCGUUUUAGAGACUCCAACUGAGUUUG